Non-coding RNA from Durio zibethinus, 1433 nucleotides. Lineage: Eukaryota; Viridiplantae; Streptophyta; Magnoliopsida; Malvales; Malvaceae. The record is from RefSeq and is a predicted model, not a curated record.
UGAAUCGAAUUACCUUAAAAAAUAUAUCUAUAGAGACGAAAAGAGCAAGCCCCGCUCUCAUAUAAAUAAAAAAUAAUAUUACUGUAUGUCUUCCUUUUUGCCUUGAUCUUCCCCGACGCGAACAAGUCCUGAGUGCUGGAGGAUUUGGGUUGAAUUGAAUCGUUUUGUUUGAGAUUGGGUAAUCUAUAUAUCUGCAUAACCUGGUUUAUUUGUUGGCAUAUAAAAGAUGUCGAGUAAGAAAGAAGAGAAAACUCAGGCUGCAGCUGAAAAAAUCAAGGCUGCAGCAUUGAGUGCAGCGAAAGGUCUCAGUCGUGCACAGGCUGAAAGGGCAGCAGCUGCUGCAGCCCGCAAUGUUAAUGCUUAUGGGCAAAAGGAAGAGGGACCUAGCAGAUGGCAGGAGAAAAGGGAAGCAAAGAGGCAGAUGUAUUUAAUGAGUACCGAGAAGGCAGUGAGAUUAGGUGAAAGGAAAGAUAAGAUGACAAUGUCUGCAAUGGGUGCAUCACAGUGCCAAAGGUGUUUUCAGGCAGGGCAUUGGACAUAUGAAUGCAAGAAUGAACGGGUCUAUAUGUCACGACCCUCGCGUACUCAGCAGCUUAAGAACCCCAAAUUAAGGAUGAAGCUUUCAAUCUCUUAUGAUUUGGACAACCCAGAUGUCAAAGAUGACAAAGAUGACAAUAGGUCUAAGAAAAGCAAGAGGAAGUAUCGGUCAGAUUCUGAUUCUGGUAGUGACAGUGAGGCUUCUGUUUUUGAGACUGAUAGCGGUGCCUCAUCUGUUACCGGCUCAGGUUCUUCUUCAGCAGAGAGUAGCACAGAUUACAGUUCCUCAUCUGAGUCAGAGGAAGAGAGGAGGAGGCGGAGAAGGAAGAAGAAGCAGAAGAAGGGGAGGCGUAGAAGGUACAGUUCAUCUUCUGAGUCUUCUGAUUCAGACUCAGCUUCAGAUUCUGAGGACAGGAGCAGCCGAAGGAAGAGCCGGAGGCACAGCAGAAGGCACUGAAAGAGAAAAAGCGUUAAAUCUCCUAUCGACUUUCUCUGUUGAUCUCAUCAAAAUGCCAAAAAAAAGUAUUGAAACCUCUGCGACUUAGGCUUGACUAGUGAGCUUAUUCAUUGGUCUAAAGCAAGUGUUCUGAGAAACAGACAUAGCUAAAAGAACAAGCGAAACAGCUCUCAAAAUUCAGAGGAAAGACUGUAGGUUCAUUAACUAAACCAAUACAUCCUUAUGUGAUAGGCAAUGCUGGAUUCAAGUUGAAAAAGAUGAAUUUAAAAGCUAAAUGAACAAAGACUCAAAGACUAGAAGAUAUACCUCCAAAUUUCAACAAGGUUUAUUAUUGUUUGAACAAGUUGAAUAAUAUUUUUAUUUUAAUUUCAAAAAAAGGUGAUCAUGCAUCAAUCAACUGAAUAAAAUAUUUCCAAUUUAUGUGUUUUGUCUGAUUUAA